GUUUUCUAAUGGAAGAAAUUUUCCAUCUCUUGGCCAGGCACAGUGGCUCAUGCCUGUAAUCCCUGCACUUUGGGAGGCUGAGGCAGGAGGGUCAGGAGUUUUAGACCAGCUUGGCCAACAUAGUGACACAGUCCUUACUGAAAAAAAAAUUUAAAAAAAAAAGCCUGGCAUGGUGGCUCACACCAGUAAUCCCAGCUACUUGGGAGGCUGAGGCAGGAGAUUCACUUGAACCAAAGGAGGUGAGGUUGUAGUGAGCCAAGAUCGUGCCACGGCACUCCACCCUGGGCAACAGAGGAGACUCUGUCUCAAAAAAAAAAAAAAAAGGAAUUUUCUGUCUCCCUAUUUAUUUAUUCAGGCAGUUAUAUCAGUGUGGACUCAGUUUCUUACUAUAUUUAAUGUAUAUUCUCACUAGACAUUACCUGUUAUUAUCAUCAUUUUUAUUUUGAUAUUGUUUAUCACAAAUAUGAUCAUUAGGAUCUCCUUCAAACUGGCUCCUGUAUUUCUUUGACAGGGCUGCAUAAUUGUUUGAGCACUUCCUUCUUACUUUCUAGCACAAUGAGACAUUCUAGGCUCCCCUUAUAUUGUCCCAGGCUAGGGUGCAGUGGCAUGUUCAUGGCUCACUGCAGCCUCAACCUCCCUGGGCUCAGGUGAUCCUCCCACCUCAGCCUCCCAAGUAGCUGAGACCACAGGCAUGUGCCACCAUGCCUGGGUAAUUUUUGUAUUUUUUGUAGAAGUGGAGUUUUGCCAUGUUGCCCAGACUGGUCUCCAACGCCCGGGCUCAAGUGAUCCACCUGCCUCGGCCUCCCAAAGUGCUGGGAAUACAGGUAUUACGGAAUUCCCCUCCAUAAAGUUUAUGUCAAUUUGCAAUCCUUUUCGCAACGUGUGAGAGUGACUAUUUCCUUACGGCCUCAUUCAACAAAGUGAGUUGCUAACUUCUUAAGUUUUUGCCAUUCUGAUAGGUGAGAAAUGGUAUCUCAAUGUGGUUUAUUAUUAUUGUCAUUAUCAUCAUUUAAUUUACAUGUAAUAAAAUUGAACUUUUUUGAUGUACUUUUAUGAGUUUUAACACAUCUUACAGAUUUUUAUUUUAUUUUUGAGACAGGGUCUGCCUCUGUCACCUUGUGACCCACCAUGUUGGCCAAGCUGGUCUUAAACUCCUGACCUCAAGUGAUCUGUCCAUCUGUACCUCCCAAAGUGCUGGGAUUAUAGACGUGAGUCACUGUGCCCAGCCUUAAUUAUUUAUAGUAUGUAUUACUUUGUGUUGUGGUACAAUAUAUAUAAAACAUAGAAUUUACCCCUUUAACGAUAUUUAAUAUACAGUUCAGUGUCAUUAAGUACAUUCACAUUGUUGUGCAGCCAUAACCACCCUCCAUCUCCAGAUCAUUUUUAUCUUCCCAAACCGAAACUCUGAACCCGUUAAACAGAAACUCACCAGCAUUUUACUUUCUGUCGCUAUGACCUUAACUACCCUAGGUAUCCAUAUAAGUGGAAAUAUACGGUUUUUGCCUUUUUUUUUUUUUUUUGAGAUGGAGUCUCACUUUUUUGUUGUUGUUGUUUAGUUACCCAGGCUAAAGUGCAGUGGUGCAAUCUGGGCUCAGUCUCUUGAGUAGCUGGGAUUACGGGUGUAUACAACAUGCCUGGCUGAUUUUUAUA
This 1650-nucleotide long non-coding RNA is filed under the name Aotus nancymaae (Ma's night monkey). Its description in RNAcentral is "lncRNA (ENSANAG00000039579.1)". The record is from RNAcentral. Lineage: Eukaryota; Metazoa; Chordata; Mammalia; Primates; Aotidae.